AUCCAGCUGACGAGUCCCAAAUAGGACGAGACGUGCAUCCUAGAU
This 45-nucleotide non-coding RNA is filed under the name Schistosoma mattheei. Lineage: Eukaryota; Metazoa; Platyhelminthes; Trematoda; Strigeidida; Schistosomatidae. The record is from RNAcentral.